RNAcentral lists this transfer RNA (74 nucleotides) under Planctomycetes bacterium RBG_16_59_8. RNAcentral's name for it is "tRNA-Lys". It matches the Rfam family "tRNA". Rfam says of the family: Transfer RNA (tRNA) molecules are approximately 80 nucleotides in length. Their secondary structure includes four short double-helical elements and three loops (D, anti-codon, and T loops). Lineage: Bacteria; Pseudomonadati; Planctomycetota. The record is from RNAcentral.
GGGGGCGUAGCUCAGUUUGGUAGAGCAACGGCUUUUUAAGCCGUGGGUCGUGGGUUCGAUUCCCUCCGCCCUCA